Molecule: long non-coding RNA, 446 nt
Filed under: Ananas comosus (pineapple)
Lineage: Eukaryota; Viridiplantae; Streptophyta; Magnoliopsida; Poales; Bromeliaceae
Description: long non-coding RNA (ACOM_LNC044398)
Source: RNAcentral
ACCCAUCCUCACACGUCCUAAUAAACUCGCACAGUCCUAUACCUUAGAGUUACUAUAGAUCUUAAACCUAGCUCUAAUACCAUUUCUCUGUCACGCCCCAAACCCGAGGCAUAACAGACGCCGCAUAUCUACUAAAUAAGAUUUUCAUACAAUCGAAAUAUUUUUCUAAUUUAUCUUACGAAAAACUAACGGGUGUCCCACGAAUUCAGAGGAAGAACCUUCGAAAACGGAAGGCCUUAAAUUGAUCCAAAGCUACCAUCUCAGUUAAAAACUAAAUAAUUUAUUAAUUAAAACGAAACUAAACAAUAACUCCUAAAUGUCCAUAUAAUCAAUCUAAUGUCAAAAUAAAUCAUAUGUUCAAAAUUUGAAAUCUAUCUAACGAGUUCUCGCCAGCCAAUUAUCUCACACGCCCUGACUCUCGGUACCUGAAACAGUAGACAACAAAA